AUACUUACCUCGCAGGGGAGAUGCCAGAUGAUGAAGGUGGUUUUCUCAGAGAAAGUAUGUCUAUGGCACCCUGGAUGUGCUGACCCUUGUGAUUUCCACAAUGUAGGAAGCAGGAGUGCAUAAUUUAUGAUAGUAGGGUUCUAUAUUUGUGCUGGCCACUG
This is a small nuclear RNA of Rattus rattus (black rat), 161 nucleotides long. RefSeq annotates it as U1 spliceosomal RNA. Lineage: Eukaryota; Metazoa; Chordata; Mammalia; Rodentia; Muridae. The record is from RefSeq and is a predicted model, not a curated record. The transcript has a single exon.